Molecule: long non-coding RNA, 589 nt
Filed under: Marmota monax (woodchuck)
Lineage: Eukaryota; Metazoa; Chordata; Mammalia; Rodentia; Sciuridae
Source: RNAcentral
AUAUUAUUUCUUUUACAGCCCUUCAGCGAGUAUGAUUCUACACAAUGCUAUGGAUCAUUUGGCUCCAGAGGAAUAAUCUUUACUCUUGAGAAAUUUCAAUUUUAUUUAAGUCUAUCGAUUAAGAAAAAUGGAUGUCCAGGUUUGACUUAUACUAGGUAAAUGUGGUUGGAGUUUUUCAGAUAGAAGUCCCCAUUGGGGACAGUGAGAUUUCAAAUAGUAUAUACGGAAGCCUAGAUGAAGUCUGUAGUUUAAAAAAACAUAUUGGCUAAAUUAUAAAUAUAUUUUUCCUUACCCUUCACAAAAUUUAUUAUGCCACAUCAUAAACCUCAUAUCUAAAAUCCUGUAGAUACUUUCUAAAUAUAUGGAAUUAUAAGAGUAUCUUUUGGCACCUGCCUAGAAUCCCAGCAGUUUGGGAGGCUGAGGCAGGAGGAUCACAUGUUCAAAGCCAGACUUAGCAAUUGGUCUCUAAGUAAAAUUUUUAAAAGGGCUGGGAAUGUUGCUCAGUAGUUAAGCUCCCCUGGGUUCAAUCCCUGAUACCAAAAAGAAACCAAGAAAAAUUGUCUUUUCUAAGAAUCUAUUGUUCAAUGCA